Small nuclear RNA from Spea bombifrons (plains spadefoot toad), 171 nucleotides. RefSeq annotates it as U1 spliceosomal RNA. The record is from RefSeq and is a predicted model, not a curated record. The transcript has a single exon. NCBI's taxonomy places the organism in Eukaryota, Metazoa, Chordata, Amphibia, Anura, Pelobatidae.
AUGCUUACCUGGCAGGGGAGAUACCCUGAUCACGAAGGGGGUUCUCCCAGGGUGAGGCUCAGCCAUUGCACUCCGGCUGUGCUGACCCCUGCGAUUUCCCCAGAUGUGGGAAACUCAACUGCAUAAUUUCUGGUAGUGGGGGACUGCGUUCAAGCUGAGUGUUUACUUCUC